CGCAAAUAUAUAUGUGCAGCUGAAGACUACACACUGUUCGGUUGUUCAAACUCACCGAUGCAAGACUCCGAUCAACGGGACUCGUUGUGGAUGACAAUACGGGCAGCAGCCGAGCAACAGUCAGGGGUUGUUUCUGUCACUCUCUACAGACUUGAACCAGACGACUUGUCCCAAAGGAUGGUAUGCUACGGAUGGGCUUGGGUGUGGUCGGAAAUGGCGUUUUCUUCACAGAUGUCUGAUGUUCCUUGUUUCUCAUGAUUAGGGGCGGGACUUUUCAUCUAUGUACGAGUCACCACAUUCGCACUGAAUAUGAUCCGGAGCGUGUCUGGGUCCCCACCAGAAGAAUAUUAUCCGUUUAGUUGGGAAGCCGAACCAAAAGGUGCGACC
Haliotis rubra (blacklip abalone) is the source of this 387-nucleotide long non-coding RNA. RefSeq lists it as uncharacterized. The record is from RefSeq and is a predicted model, not a curated record. The transcript has 4 exons. NCBI's taxonomy places the organism in Eukaryota, Metazoa, Mollusca, Gastropoda, Lepetellida, Haliotidae.